Long non-coding RNA from Prionailurus viverrinus (fishing cat), 265 nucleotides. RefSeq lists it as uncharacterized. NCBI's taxonomy places the organism in Eukaryota, Metazoa, Chordata, Mammalia, Carnivora, Felidae. The record is from RefSeq and is a predicted model, not a curated record. The transcript is spliced from 3 exons.
UUUUCUUCUGGUGCCAUGCUCCUCUCUGCAGCUAUAGAGCUUCUGGAAAGCCUGGAGGAAUUGACACUCCUGUUCACCAUGUCAUGUUCAGGGCACAGGGUGUGAAAGAAGAGGGGCUCACUCUCUCUGCCCCCUGCUUCAAUCACUUCCUAUCUGACAUGAGCAGCAGAAGUGCUAUAACCAGCCACAGGUACACCUCAGCUGACAGAUGGACAAGGCGGCAGUUAACCAAUGAAUAAGCCGAGAUACCUGUGGCCCAUGAGGG